AACGUAGGAGGCAAGCGUUAUCCGGAGUGACUGGGCGUAAAGCGCGCGCAGGCGGCGUGCUAAGUGGUGCCUGAAAGCUCCUGGCUCAACCGGGAGAGGCGGCAGCAGACUGGCGUGCUGGAGGGGUACAGAGGAGCGUGGAAUUCCAGGUGUAGCGGUGAAAUGUGCAGAGAUCCGGAGGAACACCAGCGGGGAAAGCGGCCCUCUGGGUACCUACUGACGCUGAGGCGCGAAAGCGUGGGGAGCGAACGGG
Molecule: ribosomal RNA, 253 nt
Filed under: uncultured bacterium
Lineage: Bacteria
Description: partial 16S ribosomal RNA
Rfam family: Bacterial small subunit ribosomal RNA
Source: RNAcentral